This 279-nucleotide unclassified non-coding RNA is filed under the name fungal sp. RNAcentral's name for it is "partial internal transcribed spacer region". The stretch from base 1 to 46 matches the Rfam family "Eukaryotic small subunit ribosomal RNA", at positions 1786 to 1831 of the family's 1831-position model. Lineage: Eukaryota; Fungi. The record is from RNAcentral.
AAGUCGUAACAAGGUAUCCGUAGGUGAACCUGCGGAUGGAUCAUUAAACAAAUCUACGUAUCAACCAACCGCGCACUUUGUUUUUUCCAACUUGCUCUGUCAGUGUUCGGAAGGGAACUCCUCUCGGGGAGGGAACGGAAGACGCUGAUAUCAAGGUGGAAACUUAUUAACCCAUUGUAUUAUCAUCCCCAGUUAUUUCAUUUCUUUGUCGCGGCCUAACGGCGGACUUUCUAGUAAGAAAUUUUUGUACAACUCUUAACGAUGGAUAUCUAGGCUCUC